Molecule: ribosomal RNA, 1690 nt
Filed under: Etrumeus micropus
Lineage: Eukaryota; Metazoa; Chordata; Actinopteri; Clupeiformes; Dussumieriidae
Description: 16S rRNA
Rfam family: Bacterial large subunit ribosomal RNA
Source: RNAcentral
GCCAAACAGCUAGCUCAAACAAUAGAACUAAACAACAACCUAUAUUCCUCCACAAAACCUUAAUAAACUUAACUAAACCAUUCGACCACCCCAGUACCGGGCGACGGAAAAGGAUAAAAUGAAGCAAUAGAAAAAGUACCGCAAGGGAAAGCUGAAAGAGGGAUGAAACAGCGCACUUAAGCACAAAAAAGCAGAGACUACAUCUCGUACCUUUUGCAUCAUGAUCUAGCCAGUACCCUCAAGCAAAGAGACCUCUAGUUUGAAACCCCGAAACCAAGACGAGCUACUCCGGGACAGCCUGAUGGGGCCAACCCGUCUCUGUAGCAAAAGAGUGGGAAGAUCCCCGAGUAGAAGUGAAAGACCUAUCGAGUCUGGUUAUAGCUGGUUGCCUAAGAAAUGAAUAGAAGUUCAGCCUCGACACACCCCCCGCCAAAUUUAAGUCUACCAAGGCAUAACAAGGCAAGCAGGGAUUUGCACGAGAGUUAGUUGAGGGAGGUACAGCUCCCUUAACAAAGGAUACAACCUUGAACAGGAGAUUAAAGAACAAAUUUUAACAAGACAAAAGGUUUUAGUGGGCCUAAAAGCAGCCACCUAUACAGAAAGCGUUAAAGCUCAGACCAACUAUUCAAGUCUAAAAUACCGUUAAAACCUCUAAUAUCCCCAAUUAUAUUAGGCCCUCCUAUGCCCACAUAGGAUAGAUAAUGCUAGAACGAGUAAUAAGAAGAAUGAACUUCUCCUUGCACACGUGUAAGUCGGAUCGGACACACCACCGACAACUAACGAACCCAACAAUAGAGGGCCUUACAUCUCAGCCUCUCCGGCCAAGAAAACCAUGUAUUUACCCAUCGUUACCCCUACACAGGAGUGCUAAACUAAGGAAAGACUAAAAGGAUAAAAAGGAACUCGGCAAGCCUAAACCCCGCCUGUUUACCAAAAACAUCGCCUUCUGAAAUUUUUUAUAUAGGAGGUCCCGCCUGCCCUGUGACCAAGUGUUUAACGGCCGCGGUAUUUUAACCGUGCGAAGGUAGCGCAAUCAAUUGUCUUUUAAAUGGAGACCUGUAUGAAUGGCAUAACGAGGGUUUAACUGUCUCUUUAUCCCUGUCAAUGAAACUGAUCUGCCCGUGCAGAAGCGGGCAUAAGAAUACAAGACGAGAAGACCCUAUGGAGCUUUAGACGCCCACCACCCAUAACCCAGCAGGCCCUUUAAGGAGCCCUUAACAUGAUGGGCGUGGCACAAACGUCUUCGGUUGGGGCGACCGCGGGAGAGAAGAGAGCUCCCACGUGGAUUGGGUUUAUCCUAAAACCCAGAGCCGCACCUCUAAGUCACAAAACAUUUGACCAGUAAUGAUCCGGCUUACUGCCGAUCAACGGACCAAGUUACCCUAGGGAUAACAGCGCAAUCCCCUCCCAGAGUCCAUAUCGACGAGGGGGUUUACGACCUCGAUGUUGGAUCAGGACAUCCUAAUGGUGCAGCCGCUAUUAAGGGUUCGUUUGUUCAACGAUUAAAGUCCUACGUGAUCUGAGUUCAGACCGGAGUAAUCCAGGUCAGUUUCUAUCUGUAAUGUCAUCCUUCCUAGUACGAAAGGACCGGAAUGAUGGGGCCCACGCUACAGGCGAGCCUCCCCCUUACCUGCUGAAGACAACUAAAGCAGAUAAAAGGGGGCAACCUCCGACCCUAGACAAGGGUCUA